Molecule: long non-coding RNA, 391 nt
Organism: Homo sapiens (human)
Lineage: Eukaryota; Metazoa; Chordata; Mammalia; Primates; Hominidae
Gene: CAMTA1-AS2
Product: CAMTA1 antisense RNA 2
Source: Ensembl
GUGUUCACACAGUGCUAAGGGAACACGCUGACGUGUGUGACAUCAAGAACUCCAGUGCCCACACAGCCCGAGUCCGGAUGGGACGUUUGAAAUCAGGAAGGAGUGUGGGUUGGAUCCACGUUUCUGUUCAUACCAGGCAGGCACAUCGGAAGGCUCACGGUCAGAGGAUGCUGGGACAAACGCCACGAGAGGUUCCUUUUUGUCUGGCUCACCCAGAAGAGAGGCUCCUCUCCUCCCUUCCCUGCAGCACAACGGCCUGGCUGGCACCCAAAGGGCAGCCGGCAUGGGCUGACCUCAGAGGAGCAAGGCGUGUUUGCAGCUCUGCCGCUCACAUCCACAGUGGCCAUGACAACAGGUGCAGCACCAUCCAUUAAAGCCCUGUGUCAUUUCA